UACGGAAGGGGCUAGCGUUGUUCGGAUUUACUGGGCGUAAAGCGCAAGUAGGCGGCGGACCUAGUUAGGCGUGAAAGCCCUGGGGUCAACCCGGGAAUAGCGCUUAAGACUGGUUUGCUGGAGUCCGGGAGAGGGUGGUGGAACUCCCAGUGUAGAGGUGAAAUUCGUCGAUAUUGGGAAGAACACCGGUGGCGAAGGCGGCCACCUGGACCGGUACUUACGCUGAGGUGCUAAAUCGUGGGUAGCAAACAGG
Molecule: ribosomal RNA, 253 nt
Filed under: uncultured bacterium
Lineage: Bacteria
Description: partial 16S ribosomal RNA
Rfam family: Bacterial small subunit ribosomal RNA
Source: RNAcentral